UACGGGGGGGGCAAGCGUUGUUCGGAAUUACUGGGCGUAAAGGGCUCGUAGGCGGCCAACUAAGUCAGACGUGAAAUCCCUCGGCUUAACCGGGGAACUGCAUCUGAUACUGGAUGGCUUGAGAUUGGGAGAGGGAUGCGGAAUUCCAGGUGUAGCGGUGAAAUGCGUAGAUAUCGGGAGGAACACCGGUGGCGAAGGCGGCCUUCUGGACGGAUACUGACGCUGAGACGCGAAAGCGUGGGGAGCAAACAGG
Molecule: ribosomal RNA, 253 nt
Filed under: uncultured bacterium
Lineage: Bacteria
Description: partial 16S ribosomal RNA
Rfam family: Bacterial small subunit ribosomal RNA
Source: RNAcentral